RNAcentral lists this non-coding RNA (101 nucleotides) under Priestia megaterium. RNAcentral's name for it is "Bacillus megaterium TPP sequence". It matches the Rfam family "TPP riboswitch aptamer (THI element)". From Rfam's summary of the family: Vitamin B(1) in its active form thiamin pyrophosphate (TPP) is an essential coenzyme that is synthesised by coupling of pyrimidine and thiazole moieties in bacteria. The previously detected thiamin-regulatory element, thi box was extended, resulting in a new, highly conserved RNA secondary structure, the THI element, which is widely distributed in eubacteria and also occurs in some archaea. Analysis of operon structures identified a large number of new candidate thiamin-regulated genes, mostly transporters, in various prokaryotic organisms. RNAcentral also lists the same sequence under 1 other name. The record is from RNAcentral. Lineage: Bacteria; Bacillati; Bacillota; Bacilli; Caryophanales; Bacillaceae.
ACGUACCACAGGGGGAGCCGCCGUGCUGAGAGUGAACAAAUUGUUCAGACCCUUCGAACCUGUUAGUUAACGCUAGCGUAGGAAUGUGGGAAUAGUAGCAU